Long non-coding RNA from Dromaius novaehollandiae (emu), 1309 nucleotides. RefSeq lists it as uncharacterized. Lineage: Eukaryota; Metazoa; Chordata; Aves; Casuariiformes; Dromaiidae. The transcript has 2 exons. The record is from RefSeq and is a predicted model, not a curated record.
UCUAGGUCUUCUUGAUGCUCUUAUUCCUUUGCUGGUAACCUUCUUUUUUAUUAUUUACAGGUGGCUACUAACUUGGAUGUGAAGUCAUUUUGCUUAUGUUCCUAAAAAGCACCUGAAAUACUUAGAAUGUCAUGUUAUUCUUAAGAAGUGUCCUUGUCAUCAGAUAUCUCCUCUAUAUCAAAAGCAUUCUUCAUCAAUUAGAGACUAUCGCAUUUACGUAAUCGUCCUCUUAUUAAGAAGAUUCUGCUGAACUGCUGACAAUGAUGUACAGUAGUGCUUCGCUGGUAUGACGUUUGGGGAAAACGAUUCUGCUGCACCACCACACAAAACCAAUUAGAGAACUAUUUUCUACGACAGGUCAGGAAUUUACAUUGUUUCUCAUAGAAAGAUGUGCUUUUUAAUUUCUUUAUUAAGAUGACAUCCAUGUCCCUUGUAACUUUUAGGCAUGACAAUCAUUUGCUCAUCACAUGGGAAAGUACAAUCAGCGAAAUCACAUUACCGGUACGGGGCAAUGCCAGAAACUCCAAGCAUCGUUCCACAUUUUCCAAAUGAACUAGUUUGAGAACCAAUAAUUAGAACAAUAUAUAUUGACAGAAUUUUUUGACAAGACCUCUAGUUACUCACCGGGGGGGAAAAGUAAUGAUAGUACAUAUACAACAAGCUAUGUUAUGUUUGCUGCACAUACAAACAUCAUCUUUGUCAAAUCAUUAAGACAUCAAGAAAUCCUGUAUGUCUUGGUAUUGGGACAUGAUAUGAGAUACUAAGCUUUUUCUCCUUUUUUUUUCUGAGUUGUGGAUAGGAAACUGUUUCUCCUUAGUGAAGUGCUGAUGGUGAGUAUUUUUAUACUGAAGUGAAUAUAUCCAAAAGCAAAUUUAAAGUAGUAUCUCUGAUAUGACAAAUUCACAAAGUCAAAUAUUUCCCCAUAUAAGGCUGAAAUGAUAUCAAUAACUCACUCCAUUCACCUCACUCUUUAUCAGCGACGGCUUCCUCAAAAUACCAAAACACGGGGAGAUAAGUUAAAGUGGAAUUUUGUUUAUCAUGCAAAUAGAAAUUUGCUAAACUAAAUCACAAUCGUAGAUUGCUUAAACAUACAAAUCUCUAAGGACAGUCUUACAUAAAAGAAAAAAGAGAAGAAAGAGAAAUAAAUAUUUGAUUAAACAUAUUAAGCAUUAUAAAUUAUGCCUGUAUUAGCUUUAUGAAUGUACUAAGAUAGUCUUUGGAUUAUUAUUAUUAAUCUGUAUUCUUAACAAGCCAUUACUAUAUAUAGUGUGAAUGUACAUUAACAAUAAAAAGACAUAUUUUAACAGAA